Molecule: long non-coding RNA, 250 nt
Filed under: Mytilus galloprovincialis (Mediterranean mussel)
Lineage: Eukaryota; Metazoa; Mollusca; Bivalvia; Mytilida; Mytilidae
Source: RNAcentral
CUAAGAAAUGUUUUUACAAGUGCAAAAUGUUCUACGAUAGAUAUCAUUUUGUCAGACACUUUUCUUUUUUUAGAUUUGGUUCUUAUAACAUGCCAAAAAUCUGUAUAUUUGAUAGAGUUUAACAUUAAAUUAAGCGUUUUACUCUUAACAGACUUAUAACCAACCCGAUUAACAGACCAAUCGCCGAUAUAGCCGCAUACUCAAUAUAGAUUAACCGACCAAUCUCUCGGUUAGCCGAGUGUCGGCCGUG